Molecule: long non-coding RNA, 104 nt
Organism: Poecilia latipinna (sailfin molly)
Lineage: Eukaryota; Metazoa; Chordata; Actinopteri; Cyprinodontiformes; Poeciliidae
Exons: 3
Source: RefSeq, a predicted model, not a curated record
AACCACCAUGCAGGUAUCAGUCUCCUGUUUUAACUCGAUCUGUUCUUCACCCUGACUGCAGUAAACUUCUUUCUCUUCCACUUUUAUCUGAUGCUCUUCUUUCA